UGGACAGAUUAUUGUAUUCGACUGUAUUCACGGCAUGAAAUAGGAGAUUACACUAUUUUUAAAACGGAAAGUGAAUCAAUUAACAUAAUAGACUCCU
This 97-nucleotide microRNA precursor is filed under the name Nicotiana tabacum (common tobacco). RNAcentral describes it as "MIR6152 microRNA precursor family". It matches the Rfam family "MIR6152 microRNA precursor family". Lineage: Eukaryota; Viridiplantae; Streptophyta; Magnoliopsida; Solanales; Solanaceae. The record is from Rfam by way of RNAcentral.